GCAUAACGCGAAGAACCUUACCUAGACUUGACAUCUCCUGAAUUACUCGUAAUGGAGGAAGCCCUUCGGGGCAGGAAGACAGGUGGUGCAUGGUUGUCGUCAGCUCGUGUCGUGAGAUGUUGGGUUAAGUCCCGCAACGAGCGCAACCCUUGUUGUUAGUUGCUACCAUUAAGUUGAGCACUCUAACGAGACUGCCGCGGUUAACGCGGAGGAAGGUGGGGAUGACGUCAAAUCAUCAUGCCCCUUAUGUCUAGGGCUACACACGUGCUACAAUGGCCGGUACAGAAAGAUGCAAACCCGUGAGGGGGAGCUAAACUCAAAAGCCGGUCCCAGUUCGGAUUGUAGGCUGAAACUCGCCUACAUGAAGUUGGAGUUGCUAGUAAUCGCGAAUCAGCAUGUCGCGGUGAAUACGUUCCCGGGUCUUGUACACACCG
This 434-nucleotide ribosomal RNA is filed under the name uncultured bacterium. RNAcentral describes it as "bacterial SSU rRNA". It matches the Rfam family "Bacterial small subunit ribosomal RNA", at positions 954 to 1392 of the family's 1533-position model. The record is from RNAcentral.